ACGGGAGGCAGCAGUGGGGAAUAUUGCACAAUGGGGGAAACCCUGAUGCAGCGACGCCGCGUGAGCGAUGAAGUAUUUCGGUAUGUAAAGCUCUAUCAGCAGGGAAGAUAAUGACGGUACCUGACUAAGAAGCUCCGGCUAAAUACGUGCCAGCAGCCGCGGUAAUACGUAUGGAGCAAGCGUUAUCCGGAUUUACUGGGUGUAAAGGGAGCGCAGGCGGUCUAGCAAGUCUGAAGUGAAAACCCAGGGCUCAACCUUGGGACUGCUUUGGAAACUGUUGGACUAGAGUGUCGGAGGGGUAAGUGGAAUUCCUAGUGUAGCGGUGAAAUGCGUAGAUAUUAGGAGGAACACCAGUGGCGAAGGCGGCUUACUGGACGACAACUGACGCUGAGGCUCGAAAGCGUGGGGAGCAAACAGGAUUAGAUACCCUGGUA
Molecule: ribosomal RNA, 434 nt
Filed under: uncultured bacterium
Lineage: Bacteria
Also listed under: 1 other name
Description: partial 16S ribosomal RNA
Rfam family: Bacterial small subunit ribosomal RNA
Source: RNAcentral